This 435-nucleotide RNase P RNA is filed under the name Symploca sp. SIO2G7. RNAcentral's name for it is "RNase P RNA component class A". It matches the Rfam family "Bacterial RNase P class A". From Rfam's summary of the family: Ribonuclease P (RNase P) is a ubiquitous endoribonuclease, found in archaea, bacteria and eukarya as well as chloroplasts and mitochondria. Its best characterised activity is the generation of mature 5'-ends of tRNAs by cleaving the 5'-leader elements of precursor-tRNAs. Lineage: Bacteria; Bacillati; Cyanobacteriota; Cyanophyceae; Coleofasciculales; Coleofasciculaceae. The record is from RNAcentral.
AGGAGUUGGUGCUGCGGUUGCGGGCUAGGCGUGACCUGGCCUGAGGAAAGUCCGGGCUCCCGAAAGGUCAGGCUUGCUGGGUAACGCCCAGUGCGGGUGACCGUGAGGAUAGUGCCACAGAAACAUACCGCCAACGGGAACGAUGAACGAUGAACGAUGAACGAUGAAUUUAACUUCUGACUUCUGACCUCUGACUUCUGACUUCUACGGGUAAGGGUGCAAAGGUGCGGUAAGGGCGCACCAGCAGCAUCGAGAGGUGCUGGCUCGGUAAACCCCGGCUGGGAGCAAGGUCGCAGGGGCCAUGGUUGAUCUUUUUCCAGCCCCGCUUUUGGUGUACCGCUAGAGGCAGCUGGUAACAGCUGUCCCAGAUAGAUAACCGCCCGUUGAUGGUGAUAUCAGCGAGAACAGAACCCGGCUUACGGCUGACUCUUUCCA